GACGAACGCUGGCGGCGUGCUUAACACAUGCAAGUCGAACGGAAAGGCCCUGCUUUUGCGGGGUGCUCGAGUGGCGAACGGGUGAGUAACACGUGAGUAACCUGCCCUUGACUUUGGGAUAACUUCAGGAAACUGGGGCUAAUACCGGCUAGGAGCUCCUGCUGCAUGGUGGGGGUUGGAAAGUUUCGGCGGUUGGGGAUGGACUCGCGGCUUAUCAGCUUGUUGGUGGGGUAGUGGCUUACCAAGGCUUUGACGGGUAGCCGGCCUGAGAGGGUGACCGGCCACAUUGGGACUGAGAGACGGCCCAGACUCCUACGGGAGGCAGCAGUGGGGAAUAUUGCACAAUGGGCGGAAGCCUGAUGCAGCAACGCCGCGUGCGGGAUGACGGCCUUCGGGUUGUAAACCGCUUUCGCCUGUGACGAAGCGUGAGUGACGGUAAUGGGUAAAGAAGCACCGGCUAACUACGUG
Molecule: ribosomal RNA, 468 nt
Filed under: uncultured bacterium
Lineage: Bacteria
Description: partial 16S ribosomal RNA
Rfam family: Bacterial small subunit ribosomal RNA
Source: RNAcentral